RNAcentral lists this ribosomal RNA (491 nucleotides) under uncultured bacterium. RNAcentral describes it as "bacterial SSU rRNA". It matches the Rfam family "Bacterial small subunit ribosomal RNA", at positions 28 to 526 of the family's 1533-position model. The record is from RNAcentral.
GACGAACGCUGGCGGCGCGCCUAACACAUGCAAGUCGAACGAGGUCUUUUAGAAAGCUUGCUUUCUGGCUGACCUAGUGGCGGACGGGUGAGUAACACGUGAGCAACCUGCCCUAAAGAGGGGGAUAACGUCUGGAAACGGACGCUAAUACCGCAUAACCUAUUUAAAUGGCAUCAUUUAGAUAGCAAAGGAGAAAUCCGCUUUGGGAUGGGCUCGCGCCCGAUUAGGUAGUUGGUGAGGUAAAGGCUCACCAAGCCGACGAUCGGUAGCCGGACUGAGAGGUUGAUCGGCCACAUUGGGACUGAGACACGGCCCAGACUCCUACGGGAGGCAGCAGUGGGGGAUAUUGCACAAUGGGGGAAACCCUGAUGCAGCGACGCCGCGUGGGUGAAGACGGCCUUCGGGUUGUAAAGCCCUGUUGCAGAGGACGAUAAUGACGGUACUCUGUAAGAAAGCCACGGCUAACUACGUGCCAGCAGCCGCAGUAACAC